ACCCUUUUUCAUUUCACAUGUGUAAUAAUUAGGUGUUCAUGUGCAUGUGGGAGACGAGCCUCCUUCAUGCCUUGUUAUGAUUUCAGCAUACUAUCCAUCUAAUG
Small nucleolar RNA from Otolemur garnettii (small-eared galago), 104 nucleotides. NCBI's taxonomy places the organism in Eukaryota, Metazoa, Chordata, Mammalia, Primates, Galagidae. The record is from Ensembl.